CUUGGAGCAGGAGCUUGCAUCUCCAGCGAGGAGUGAAUGCUGGGCCUGGCCUUAUGGAAGCACUCUCAACAGGUGCAGCAGUUACCUCAUUCCAUGGAAGGCUCUUCAACUGGCCCUCCGUUUCCCACCAGCACAAUGCAGCAGCUUUCCCACCUCCAGGCCUAUGGAGGGGAGAAACUCAUGGAAGGGGCUGUAAACUGCAUUCAUUCUGCAAUAUGGAAGGAACAGGAGCAUAACACACCUCACUGCAUAACAGCUACCCUGCGGCUGUUGAGCUCCAGAGGCCAGCAGCACCAGGCACACUUUGCCACUCCACCAGUUUGUGGUCGUGUUCCAGCUCAGUUGAUUUGCAAGGCUUGAAAAGAAGAGGUGCACACAAGGGACCUGGCAGCACUCGUCCCUCCCUGUGGUUCCUGCUAAGGCUCCACCAAUGGAGAAUGGAUCAGGGCUAGGAAUAAACAUUUAUAAGCAACAGCUAUCCUGUUAAUUGUUUUUGUCUGAGUGAAUACUCCCUCAAGUUACAACACGAUCAAGACUCCUUGUCAGGAGAAACUUGCACAUGUGUGUGAUUCACUGAUAAAGCCCUAAAUCCUCCAGGCUUAGCAGCAGCAGAAUCAGCACAGGGCAAGCACAGACCUUACCAGAACAGCACGAACACUCUGGGAGAGAAAUCAAACACCAUUUAAAUCCUAGGUGAAGAUUCCUCCACCCAAAUCUGCUUGUUUAUGUACAAGCAAGGUGUUGUAGAUUCCUCCAAAUAUAGGGAGAAGCUUUGGCCGGCUUUGGUUCUUCAAGGGAGCUUUCUCAAUGGAAAUGGCUGAGAGGAAUUGGACAACCUGACGCGGGUUUAUGAAGGUUAGGCAUACACUGUGUAAUCUUUCAGAGCCAACAUCAAAACACAAGACCAAGCAAUCACGAAACAAACAGCAGAUAGCAAUCCCUAUAGGAAUUUCUUUGAGAGACCGUCUGAGAUGUGAGAGAAGCUUUGUCUGGUUCCAGUCGGGCUGCAAGGUGAAGAUGGCAUUGCAAGAGAAUACCAAAAACUGUGCAAGGAACGACAGAGAAGCUCUAAAGAAGAUGUUCCUCCAGCAUUAUGAGUGAAACCUUCUUAGCACUGCAAAUUGCUCUUCUGGAUUACGUGUAACUCAAGAAUUUCCAACAGCGGGUACUUGUACGUGCCUGUUCACCACAUCAGAGCUCUUAGGCUGUGAUUAAGGCUGGGAUCCAGCAGGUCUGGGUGCCCUUCCAGCUCCUGCCAUGGGCUGGCUGUAAUUCUAAGCAAAUGGUUUUAUGUGACCGCUUUAUGGGUCUCCUUUCUGUCAUCUCUCUCCUGCCUUGUCUGGAGGCUGGCCUCCAGCCUGAGGUAUGUUUUUACAGGGCUGAAUGUGAUGGGACCCUGACAUUCACUGGAGCAAGUGGGAUAAUUGCGUAUCCACCCAGAAAGCAAACAGAAGGAGAAUUCGGGCAAACAAAGGCAGAAGACUUUCAUUAGAGAGAACACUGGUUCACAUGCCAGUCCCAUCUCUUUAGAUGUCCAUCUUCUGAGACUACUGCAGUAACACUUCAGGGAAAAAUUAAACGUUCUGUGUUUGCACUAAGUUCUUUUUUCUUCAUCUAAGCUUCAAAAGACUUUUUCCCACAGGUGGGGCUCAACAUCAUUAUCUCCAUAACAGAAAAGACAAACAAGAAGGCAGAAGCUCACACCAGGGAGCUGAGAUCACAGUUUUCUACUGUAACCACAACCUUGAGCAGCACUCAUCUGUGUGCCCGUGUUCAGGAGGUCCUGAACUUUGCAGC
This is a long non-coding RNA of Lagopus muta (rock ptarmigan), 1797 nucleotides long. RefSeq lists it as uncharacterized. The transcript has 3 exons. The record is from RefSeq and is a predicted model, not a curated record. Lineage: Eukaryota; Metazoa; Chordata; Aves; Galliformes; Phasianidae.